CUUAACACAUCCAAGUACGGGGCGCUCGCAAGAGCAACCUUCGAACGGGUGCGUAACACGUGAGCAACCUACCGAUUUGUGGGGGAUAGCUGGCCUAACGGCCAGGUAAUACCGCAUACGAUGUUCGGCCCGCAUGGGCCGAACAUCAAAGCCUAUGGGCGCAAAUCGAGGGGCUCGCUGGUCUAUCAGCUAGUUGGCGGAGGGCAUGGCUCACCAAGGCUGACGACGGGUAGCUGGUCUGAGAGGAUGGCCAGCCACAUUGGGACUGAGAAACGGCCCAGACUCCUACGGGAGGCAGCAGUGGGGAAUCUUGCGCAAUGGACGAAAGUCUGACGCAGCGACUGCCGCCGUGGGGGAUGAAGGCUUUCGGGUUGUAAACCCCUGUUGCCCGGGACGAACUUCCUGUUUCGACAGGAUUGACGGUACCGGGUGAGGAAGCACCGGCUAACUCUGUGCCAGCAGCCGCGGUAAUACAGAGGGUGCGAGCGUUGUCCGGAAUCACUGGGCGAAAGGGCGCGUAGGUGGCGCGACAAGUCCGUGGUGAAAGUUCGACGCUCACCGUCGAAUCGGCCACGGAUACUGUUGGGCUCGAGCACUUGUAGAGGCAGAUGGAAUUCCCGGGUUGUAGCGGUUGGAAUGCGUAGAGAUCCGGAAGAACACCGGUGACGAAGGCCGGUCUGCUGGGCCAGUUUGCUGACACUGAGGCGCGACAGCGGUGGGGAGCAAACAAGGAUUAGAUCCCCUGGUAGUCCACCCCGUAAACGAUGGGCCACUAGAUGCUUUGGGGGGAAGCGACCCCCUGAAGUGGUCAACCCCUAACCCAUUAAGUUGGCCCCCGCCUGGGGGGAGUACGGGCCGCAAAGGCUGAAACUCAAAGAAAUUUGACGGGGGCCGCACAAGCCGGUGGAGCAUGUGGUUUAAUUCGACGCAACGCGAAGACCUUACCUAGGCUUGACAUACACGGGAAACUGACCAGAAACGGUCGGCCCUCUUCGGAGCCCGUGCACAGGUGCUGCAUGGCUGUCGUCAGCUCGUGUCGUGAGAUGUUGGGUUAAGUCCCGCAACGAGCGCAACCCCCGUUCUCAGUUGCCAGCGCGUUAUGGCGGGGACUCUGGGAAGACUGCCGGUGCCAAACCGGAGGAAGGUGGGGACGACGUCAAGUCAUCAUGGUCCUUACGUCUAGGGCUACACACGUGCUACAAUGGCCGGUACAGCGGGUCGCAAGCGCGCGAGCGUGAGCCAAUCCCACAAAGCAAGCCUCAGUGCGGAUUGGAGGCUGCAACUCGCCUCCAUGAAGCUGGAAUCGCUAGUAAUCGUGGAUCAGCUACGCCACGGUGAAUACGUUCCCGGGCCUUGUACACACCGCCCGUCACGCCAUGGAAGCUGUGAGCGCCCGAAGUCCGUGUCGGAACCCGCAAGGGACCAAGCGGCCGAAGGCGAG
RNAcentral lists this ribosomal RNA (1441 nucleotides) under uncultured bacterium. RNAcentral describes it as "16S ribosomal RNA". It matches the Rfam family "Bacterial small subunit ribosomal RNA". The record is from RNAcentral.